Long non-coding RNA from Amborella trichopoda, 2307 nucleotides. RefSeq lists it as uncharacterized. NCBI's taxonomy places the organism in Eukaryota, Viridiplantae, Streptophyta, Magnoliopsida, Amborellales, Amborellaceae. The record is from RefSeq and is a predicted model, not a curated record.
GGGGGGGGAGAGGGAGGGAGGAGGCAAAUUGCAACGGAUGAAUUCAUGCUUGAAGGAUUUUGAAAGCGCGAGAGUAACUGAGUUAUGCAUAGAUAAGAUGAAGAAGAUAUUGCAAAAUGCAUUUCUUGUGAUUUACUGAUUAAACAGAAUCCCACAUUUCCUUUUCUCAAAUUUUUUUGGAAUUUUCUCCUUAAUUUUGUAUGGGAAAGGAAACCAUAUUCCUGUUGAGCAAGGUCUGCAGUGCUCCAUAGACCAUCAAAUAUAUGUUCUUCAUGAUGAGCUUUGGAGAUUAAGCGUAGCCCACCACACUUAAUCUUCACUGUCCAUCAAUAGGGUUGGAUGGUAGAUCCUCCUAUGGAGCAUGUAUUAUAAAUUCCAUUGGAUUGCAGUUAGUUUUUCCCAUUCCCUGCUACUGUGGUUAAUUAUCCAUUUUUUAUUUUUUUCAAUUUUCAUUGAAAUUUUGUAGUUGUUCACAGGAGAAGAUUUUAAGAAACAAAACAUGGUACGAGGCCAAUUUGCCAAAUCAGGUCUAUAGGAGGUGUAUCGUGUCGACAAUUCAGAUUUAGAAGUCAACCUAUUGACUGCCAAAAAAUGUUCUGGGAUCCCCUCCUUAGCUUGGGCAUCUGCCUCAAAGCUAGGUUUUUUUGUAUGUACGCGUAAACUCGAUGUCUUUUAGGCCAUUAGUUUCAUAAAAAACAAGGAUCAGGUGUCUCUGCUCACCUGUGCACCGUCUAGUUACAUUGAGCUUUUCACACUAGUAAACAUAGUGUUUUAUUCCUUAAAACAUUGGCAUAGUGUUAAAGGUGCUGCUCUCUAGGUUAAAGACUCUCGCCUUUCUCUCUCUCAUACUACAAUCGGCAUAUGUUCUGAUGGGAGUUACAAUAUGCAACCACUUGAUAACAACCCCCCAUUCUUCUCACUUCACAAAUAUUCAUAUUCUUGCUAUCUUUGCAGUAUUCCUGUCUCUCCAUCAUGCACGUGUACACAAUCAAAUAGCGCAAAACAAGUCAAGGUUAUGCAUAAAAUAAAAGAAAAAGUAGAUUCCGGUGCUCAAAGGAACCAAUAAGGAGUUAAAAGGGUUACUUCUAACUUCAACCAUGAAUUUUUAUUUUUUUUUGGGGUGGCUGGGCCCCCUAACCAAGGAAAAAGUUCAAUUCUCUACAAUAACAAUGACAUGGAAUAAAUUUGAGAAACAUUCAGCAUUCCACUCUUCCUCUAUAAAAAGAAGUUCCAGCAUCUUCCAAUCCUUUUCUCUCUCUUGAGUGUUCUUAGAACUAUUCUUCUUUAUGGCAUCUUUAUCUCUUGCAAAGCAUUGCAAUUUGCAAGUAAUGUGCCAUAGCUUUUGUACCUUCUUUCCCACAAACAACAUAGGGCCAAUAAUACACAACCCCAACAAAGAGUUUAAGCUGCUUACAACGAAAGGCAAAAUAACCUUUUGCACCCUCCUUUCCUCUGUCAUAAAACCCUCAUCUCUCUUCCUCUUUCUACAUAGAAAUUCAGCCAUGAAGAUUCCAAAUCUUGCCAUGGCCUAUGAAGCCAUGAAAACCCAUUUGAGAACCAUCACUAAAUUUCAUUUGAAGCUCUCUUAUGCCAUAGCUCCCUUCAUACUUCUUUACACUCUCUCUCAUCCUCAAGUUCAAAGCCUUCUCAUCUACUUCUCCCCUCUAGUGUUAUCAACAGGGCUUUGUUUCAUCAUUGCCUUCUUUCAAUUGUGGUUGCAUCAAGCUCAAGUAGAGAGAGAAACUCUCAACAAGCCAAAUUGUGGAGAGAGAGAACCACCAAGUGAGGCAGACAGUGUAUGGCAGCACUAUUUUGAUGGGUGCACCAACUGGCACCACACCAUGGUUGUGAAUGAAGAAAUCGCUCAAUGAGGGACAGGUUGUUUUUUCUUAUGCUGGUCCGUAGGCUCUGCUAUGGCCAAUCAUGCGGAAUUUGCCUCAUUGCGACAAGGUCUUAAGCUCUUUAUCUCCAAAGGCAUUGGCAAUAGUUGUAUUUGUGAAGGUGAUUCGCUUAAUGUUAUUGGCUAGUGUAAGAAGGAAUAGUGUAUUCUCUGGAAGCUCGAGUCUAUCUGGUUGGAGAUUAUAGACAUUUCAGUCCCCUUAGCUUUCUCUUUCUCUCAUAUUUAUAGGAAAGCUAAUGCUUUAGCUGAUUCUCUAACCAAUGGUGGGGUUUCCCUGCCUGUUCUUUUGUUUUUCUUUGAUGUAAUAUCUUUUUAGUAGUUUCUCAUUAAUAAAAAUUGGAACCUUUGUCAAAAAAAAGAAAAGAAAGAAAUGAUAUCAAAUAAAUGGCCCUAGCAUGGUUUUUUAA